This 396-nucleotide ribosomal RNA is filed under the name uncultured bacterium. RNAcentral's name for it is "partial 16S ribosomal RNA". It matches the Rfam family "Bacterial small subunit ribosomal RNA", at positions 523 to 918 of the family's 1533-position model. The record is from RNAcentral.
AUACGUAGGGGGCGAGCGUUGUCCGGAAUGAUUGGGCGUAAAGGGCGCGCAGGCGGCCCGGUAAGUCUGGAGUGAAAGUCCUGUUUUUAAGAUGGGAAUUGCUUUGGAUACUGUCGGGCUUGAGUGCAGGAGAGGUAAGUGGAAUUCCCAGUGUAGCGGUGAAAUGCGUAGAGAUUGGGAGGAACACCAGUGGCGAAGGCGACUUACUGGACUGUAACUGACGCUGAGGCGCGAAAGCCAGGGGAGCGAACGGGAUUAGAUACCCUGGUAGUCCACGUCCUAAACGAUGAAUACUAGGUGUGGGGGGACUGACCCCCUCCGUGCCGGAGUAAACACAAUAAGUAUUCCACCUGGGGAGUACGACCGCAAGGUUGAAACUCAAAUGAAUUGACGGGG